GACGAACGCUGGCGGCGUGCUUAACACAUGCAAGUCGUACGGUAAGGCCCUUUCGGGGGUACACGAGUGGCGAACGGGUGAGUAACACGUGAGUAACCUGCCCACAACUUUGGGAUAACGCUAGGAAACUGGUGCUAAUACUGGAUAUGUGCUCCUGCUGCAUGGUGGGGGUUGGAAAGCUCCGGCGGUUGUGGAUGGACUCGCGGCCUAUCAGCUUGUUGGUGGGGUAGUGGCCUACCAAGGCGGCGACGGGUAGCCGGCCUGAGAGGGUGACCGGCCACAUUGGGACUGAGAUACGGCCCAGUCUCCGACGGGAGGCAGCAGUGGGGAAUAUUGCACAAUGGGCGCAAGCCUGAUGCAGCAACGCCGCGUGCGGGAUGACGGCCUUCGGGUUGUAAACCGCUUUCAGCGGGGACGAAGCUUUUUGUGACGGUACCUGCAGAAGAAGCACCGGCUAACUACGUG
Molecule: ribosomal RNA, 465 nt
Filed under: uncultured bacterium
Lineage: Bacteria
Description: partial 16S ribosomal RNA
Rfam family: Bacterial small subunit ribosomal RNA
Source: RNAcentral